Molecule: long non-coding RNA, 462 nt
Filed under: Elaeis guineensis (African oil palm)
Lineage: Eukaryota; Viridiplantae; Streptophyta; Magnoliopsida; Arecales; Arecaceae
Description: long non-coding RNA (EGUI_LNC005176)
Source: RNAcentral
GCUCUGCCAAUGGCUUCAAUAUGAUAGUUGCUUGGCAUGAGAACAUUUUCAACAUGUUACUUCAAUUUUCCUCCAAAUAAAACUAAAGUCGUAUAACCACUUCCUAAAAAUCUAAUAAAAGAUGAGUCGAUAUCAUCUGGCUAGUAUCCAUUGUCUUUGCGGUAGUAUCAUAGAAAACUAAAUUAAUAUUACUUUCAAGGUAAACUGCUACAGAUAGGAUAAAGCGAAGAUAAGAUAAAAUAUAUUAAUAAAUUGGAUUGUGAAGGAUCCUACAAAGUAUAAUUUGACUUAUUUAUACUAAAUAUAAUAAUUGCCAACUCUAAUGAUUGUUAUUCAUAGUUGGCCUCUAUUUUUGGUGCUUUUAAUAAUUAAUGAUAUUUACCUUUUACUACUCACAUUCAUUAGCAUGGUCACUCUGCACCACUUAUGAAAUCGAUGAUCAUCUCUUAUCGGCCUUGGCUC